GAAAUCCUGGAGCUCAUCCCAAAACAUUCAUGGAGUCUCCAAACCCAAAACCUCCUGUGGGGGAUCCUGGACCUUAUCCCAAAACAUUCAUGGAGUCUCCAAACCCAAAACCAUCUCUGGUGGGUUCUUGAUUCUGUUCCCAAAGAUUUCUGGUGCCAACAAUCCCAAAUCCAUCUGUGGUGGAUCCUGGAGCUCAUCCCAAAUUAUUUCUGGAGUCUCCAAAUCCAGAGAUUGUGGAUCCUUAACCUUGUCCCUAAAGAUUCCUGGUGCCACCAAACCCAAAACUGCCUGUGGUGGAUCCUGGAGCUCAUCCCAAAAGAUUUCUGGAGUCUCCAAACCCAAAACUGGUUGUGAGGGAUCCUGGACCUUAUCCCAAAUUAUUUAUGGAGUCUCCAAACCCAAAACUACCUGUGGUGAAUCCUGGAGCUCAUCCCAAAUUAUUUAUGGAGUCUCCAAAUCCAGAGAUUGCGGAUCCUUAACCUUGUCCCUAAAGAUUCCUGGUGCCACCAAACCCAAAACCUCCUGUGGUGGAUCCUGGAGCUCAUCCCAAAUUAUUUAUGGAGUCUCCAAUCCCAAAUCCAUCUCUGGUGGGUUCUUGAUUCUGUUCCCAAAGAUUGAUGGUGCCACCAAUCCCAAAUCCAUCUGUGGUGGAUCCUGGAGCUCAUCCCAAAACAUUCAUGGAGUCUCCAAUCCCAAAACUGGUUGUGAGGGAUCCCAGAGCUCAUCCCAAAACAUUUCUGGAGUCUCCAGACCCUGGAGAAAUGAAGGAUCCAGGGAGAGCUUCCAGAACAUUCCAGGGCCUGAAGGAGCUCCAGGAGAAGCUGGAAUUUGGGAAAGGCCUGGAGGGGCAGGACACAGGGAAUGGCUUCCCACUGGGAAAGGGGAGGUUUGGGUGGGAUCUUGGGAACUGGGAAUUCCUGGAAUUCCCAGAGCAGCUGUGGCUGCCCCUGGAUCUCUGGAAUGUCCCGGGAAAGGUCGGAGCAAUCUGGGAGAGCAGGAGAUGUCCAGGGGUUGGAAGUGGAUGGGCUUGGAGGUUCUUCCAACCCAAACCGCUCCAGGAUUUGGGAAUUGUGGGAUCCUGGCCCGUGGAAUGCCCCCCCCGGCUGGGCAGGGAAAUUUGGGAAUUUUUCCA
Molecule: long non-coding RNA, 1132 nt
Filed under: Cyanoderma ruficeps (rufous-capped babbler)
Lineage: Eukaryota; Metazoa; Chordata; Aves; Passeriformes; Timaliidae
Description: lncRNA (ENSCRFG00000013377.1)
Source: RNAcentral